AAAUAUCAAGAUUUUUCAAUAAUCUCAGGUUGCAAAUGGUGUUAGAUAAUUUCGAAAAGGUUGUUCCCUUGGCUCUGAGCUCUAUUAAAGAUUCAAUGUUCCCCAGUUCAACAGGUAAUGCUUCCACUUUAGUGCAAUACAUAAUACUUAGAACUUCCAAUGUUCUCAAGUUGCAAAUGGUGUUUGGAAGAUAUUCAAGGUUCUCGUUAUAGUCUAAUUUCAGCUUAACAAGCUUACUAAGAUCUCCGAUCGAAUCUGGUAAUUGCAGAACACGUAGCCAGCGAGCAUUGAGCUCUAGUAAGGAUUUAAGGUUUCCCAAUUGUGUUGGCAAUGCUUUUAGCCAUAUACAUGCAUCAACACAUAAAACUUCCAAUGCUUUCAACUCGCAAAUGGUAUCCGGAAGACUUCUUAGGCUUGAACAACUCUUCAAAUUUAAGGAAACAAGGUUCACCAAACUUCCAAUUGAUAUAUGGACCUCCUUCAAACUUGUACAGCCCUCAAGAUAUAAAUUUUCGAGGCGCGGCAGUCUCGUGAAAUCCGGCGUGGUAGUUAAAUCCCUGGAAAACCUCAUGUUUAGAGUCUUUAAAUUUUCGAGACACGGCGGUCUUCUGAAAUCUGGGAUAGUUAAACCAUGGGAAAACCGCGUGAUCAGAGUCUUUAGCUUCUCCAAAACAUUUGAAACCUGCAAUAAUGAGUGUGAUUAAGAGGUAUCAAAUCAGAAAUUUUUGAAUUUUAACUCUUCAUAGAUGUAAGAAACAGACAGAGUACCUACCAUCGUGUCCUCCCACAUAGUUGUCAAUUUGCUUUUGGGCAACUCAAGAAUAACAAGUUUUACAAGGCAGAAAUCAGAAGGUAAACACUUUAAGGGACAGUGAUUCCAGAAAAACCACCUCAAAUCUUCUAGUGUCCCUGUAAACUCUCCGCUGAGAUUAAUGUUCUUUAAGUAAAGAAAUCUUAAUUUACUCAUUCUUCUUAAUGUCUCCGUAGAAAACAGUACUUCCACCUCAGGUCCAUUAUAAAUGAUACCUUCAACGGCUUCUGUUCCCUAACACAUGCAUAUCAAUAAGAUAAGUUACUUACCGUACUUGUACAAUAAAUAAUUACCACAUCAAUACAUAAUUUCAUCUUAUGUGUAAUUUCUUAUACCUAGAUUAAGAAAAAAAGUUGAUGAACGAAUUUAAGUCAAAUAAAUUCAGAUGAAUCAAUUAGAUUGAUCUGGUACCAUUCUUGAAUAUACAUAUAGUGUAAUUACCUUGUGUUCCUUUAACACAGAGCAUAUUUCUUUUGGUACCCAUAAUCUACUAUGCUUUCCAGGCUCGUCAGGAGAGUUAUUAUGCGCGAUUUCCUUUCCCAUAUCCUGAAUCAGAUCAUGCAUUCGCAAUUCAUCUCUACUUUCCUUUCCCAUAUCCAGAAGCAGAUCAUGCAUUCGGAAUUCAUCUCUACUGUUUAUCGUUAAUAAACAUCUAUUCUUGAGAAUAUCAAUCUUAUCAUCUGCGUAGGGAUAAUAAGUAUCUAAUAUUUCAACCACCUUUUCUUUGUUCCAUCCGAUGAAUAGACAAGAAAUGUCAAGGAACAUUUUCUUUAGCAGAGGAUCAUCUGAUUCCAAGGCUUCCAAGCUGAUUUUAAGUUUUUCUUGGAUACGGCUGUUGGGACUUCGCUGCAGUGUCUCGAUGUAUGAUUUCCAUCUAACCUCGGAUUUCUUAUACAAGGAUGAACCGAAAACCUCGAGAGCCAAGGGAAGCCCUCCAGCAAGACGUAGAAUGUCUUUAGACAAUAUCUUUAGAGUAUUGCUUGGUUGAGCAUCUCCAAAUGCAUGGCGGAAGAAUAGUGUCUCUGACUCAGCAUCACUCAGCACAUUAACCUUGUAUCGAUUUUGAGUUUCUACUUCAAUUUUAUCCAAUAUCUCUUCAUCCCUUGUAGUUAUAAUAACUACACUCCCAGGAGCAAAUCGUCUCACCAGUGAUUGAAAUUCUUGAUGGUCCUCUAAAUCAUCGAUAACAACCAAAAUUUUUGCUGAACAAAUUUUUUGAUCUAUCAGCUUAAUUCCUUGGCCAACACUGUUAACCUCAACUUUAUUCUUACUUCUAAGAACAUCGUUAAUAAGUUGUUGUUGCAAAGACUCUAGACCUUUUGAAUUCCCCAAACUCUCCCUCACAUUUGCGAGGAAGCAGCUUCCCUUAAAGCUUCCCGGCAAGAGUUUAUUAAAAAGUGCUUUGGCAAGAGUUGUUUUACCUAUGCCACCCAUACCAAAUAGACCGAUCUUAAUGACAUCUUUUGUGCCCCUGCUCAGCAAUGCUGUUAUGUCUUUAAGGCGGGAAUCCAAUCCUACUGGAUAUCUGGCAACAUCUAAAGAAAAGGAUUGUAUUUGCAGUAGAAUUUCGUCAACAAUUUCAUUGACAAUAUCAGCUUCAGACCUGCAUUGUAAUUUUGGUAAUUACAAAAGGAAGAGAGCCUUGUAUCUAUAAUUUAAGUGAAGCUUCACAACCACACAGCUAUAAAAAUUAGGCUUAAUGCCCUUUUAACCCUCCAUGUUUGUGGGUAUGUACUGAUGCAGCAUCAAUAUUUUAAAUCGGCCGAUUCAACCCUCCAUAUAUCCGAUAUAUUCCGAUUAGCCCUCAUAUACCAAAAAACAACCGAUGGACAACCAUCACAUUUCACACUCCUGAGAGUUAAAAGAGCAUUAAAUAUUGAGGGUUAAAAGGGUACCUUAAACACACGUAUUCUUCAGAGGUUAAAAGGAACGGGCAAACUUUACCUUAAAAAGAAUAAAAAAUACCCUCCUUUAUAUAUCCUUUUUUGACUCCAUCCCUGUACGAGGGCUAAUCGGAACAUAUCAAUACUUGACGGGUUUAAAUUGCCCGACCGCAUCGAUAUACACCCUAAACAUAAAAGAGCAUUUAGCCUAGAAAUUAACUACAUACUUAAUUCCUAUCAUCAACCACACAAGCAACAAAUCACAUGAAAUUAGCCGCUAAUUAUACAUAGAAUAUACAAUGAACUUACGUUUUACCGUCUACAUGUUUCCCUGAAUUAUUGGCAACUUCUUUCAGUGCAAGCCGCCAUUUCUCAACUCUUUCCAUUUCACCCCCAAAUCUAAUUUCAUGUCUUUUAAAAUCACUUUCAAAGCCCCCUUUCUGGUACCUAACAACCGAUGGAUCAACGUUAUAAAACACCGGAAUAACCGUUCUUUGCAUUGCUCUGCUACAAUUGAGGAUCGCUACGAGCUCGUCAAGGCACCAGCUCGAAGAAGCAUAAUUCUGAGAGAGGACAACGACGUAGAUCUUCGAUUCCUGAAUAGCUUUGAGCAACGCGUCGGAGAUGACUUCUCCGCAGCGAAGCUCGGGAUCGUCUUUAAAUGUUGGAAUAUUGUAGCGGUCCAGGGCGGAAUAUAAGUGGCUGGUGAAAGUGUAUCGGGUGUCUAUGCCGCGGAAGCUCAGGAAAACGUCCCAGCUGGGAGAUGGAGUUUGAGAAGUUGGGGAAGCCAUUGGAUAGGGUGAAUGGGAGGAUGAUUUGUGGAGAAGAUGAGUAGUUAAGUUGCAAUAUAGCAGCUCAGUGUGGAGAGUAGAGAUUGAAUAUCAUUAUUGAUGCAUAGCAAUGAUGAGAGGUGCACAGUAUGAUUUCAAAAAGUAACUGGGUCUGGGGUCCCAUCAAGACAUUUUUCUUUUGUCAGUCGUCAAGACAUCUUUAUCCGGGAAGAUUUUUGUGGAAAAAACUACUCCUUCUCUCUCUAAAAACAUUCAAAUAUCGGCGUUAUUCAUAACACGAGACAAAUUAUUAAUUUAUAUUUAAAUUAUAAGAUAAAAUAUAGUAAUGAGUGAUUUGGUUGGAUUCGUAUUUAUGAAUACUUUAAUACGGUGAAAUUUUUAUGUUUAAUACUAAUAUAAAAUCAAUGAUAUUAAUGAUCAAUAGUGUGUAUUGACAAACGUGAUAAAGAUAAACAGUAAAAAUAUGAUAAACGGAAAAAGUAUUUAGGGACGGUUGAAAUAAACACGCAUAUUAAGAAAAUGAUUGGUUAGAUAUAAUUUUAUGUCAUGUAUCAUUAAUUGGUACAUUGAUAAAGGAAAAUAGAGUUGAGUUUCAAAAAAAUCACAAUAAAUAUAGUGAUUUAGUGCAUUGAAAAAUAAGAAUAAUGUUGAGUUUCAAAAAAGUCAUAAUUAAUAUAGAGAUAAAGUUGUAUUGAAAAAAGAGAAGGACAAGUAUAUUGGGACAAAUUUUUUUCCCAAAAAAGACCUAUAAAAUGAGACGGAGGGAGUAAUAUUUUUUAAAAAUUUUAUUUUUUAAAUAAAAUUUUAUAUAUUAAAUUUGUAUUCAGAAAAAAAAUUAAAAAAAUUUGUGGAACCAUAAUUUAAAGAAAUACUAAAAAUACAUGCCGAAAAAUAACGUAUACAAUUUCAUCAGGACCGGGGAGUAUCAUUAUUAAUUAAUGAGAUAUAAGUAAAUAGAAAAUUACUCAAUCAUGUAUCCUCAUUGUUCUGCUUAUUUCCUUACACUUCUUUUUUUUUUUACAUUCCUCGACACAUUUUACCUUCCAGAAUUUUAUGAACUUGGCCUUACAAGACAGAGAAAGAAAUUACUAAAAAAAAAUUUGCAUCUUGGCUUACAAUCAACAAAUAUUGAAUACAGACAUUAUACUGUUAUGUCAAUGAACCGGCAUAUACAACAUAAUGGAGAUGUGGUUGAUGCUACAACUUCAAGCAAAGGAAAUUUGGAUAUUGAGACUGAAGUUUGGCUCCUAAGUAAUGUUCAUCACGAAUCAUCAGUCUACUUGGAUGCUGUCACAAAUGAUCAGAGGUACUUCCUGUAUUCGAAUACAUGGAAAACAGAAGCCUUGAUAAAAAUACAUCUUGCAGGCUAGGUGGUAUAAAAACGAAUCAGGUUCAUUAAACAGUGGUACCUGCAUCUUCUACUUGAAAUCACUGUCUGACAGUGGUGUUAUCAUCCUCGUUUUUGUACAGUAGAUGAAACCAAACUCUGCCAGCAUUUGAUGUAACUUUGAUUGUAUGAUUGAAAUCUGCGAGUGGAAAUAUUGAUCUUGGUAUUGUUACUAUAUUUGAUCCACAUAGCAUCUUUUGGCCCAUUGAAUGAUAAUUUGUCGUAACAGUAUAAUAGACUUCUUUAACAUCAAAGACUUCUUGAAUCCGUGGUGGAAAGCAGAGAAUCAUCCCCAAGUAAUUGUGUGACAAAUUUGCUUGCAGAUUCACAGAGGAUGAAAUGUCAUAUGCCAAGUCAUCUUCCAUCAACUCCAAAAUCUUUUCUACCUCAACCCCAAUACCAAUUUCGUGGUCAAAACCACAAUAAAUCUUGUACAAAAAGGAAAACAAAAACGUUAACCAAAAAUAUGUAACCAAACAACGACUACAAAUGUAAAUUUCAAUCAAACUUUAGUUAAUUUGAUUGCGAACAAGUCAAAACUGGACCUCUAAUUAGAAGUAGAUAAUUGAUUAACCAACUAAUAGUUAUUUUUAUAAGAUAAGAGUUUGAGAUCUUCGCAAAACCUGAAAUAAUUGCAUUGUAAGAGUGCGUGCCAGUAGAGAGGAAUGACAACCUCGCAAUUGCAGGUCGUAUAAAGAAGUGAGUUCCCCCAAGCCCAAAAUCUUUGUUAAAGCACAACAAUCUGUGAGGUCCAAUUCCUUCAACAGUUUCAGAUUGGAUACGUUCACUCUUUNNNNNNNNNNNNNNNNNNNNNNNNNNNNNNNNNNNNNNNNNNNNNNNNNNNNNNNNNNNNNNNNNNNNNNNNNNNNNNNNNNNNNNNNNNNNNNNNNNNNNNNNNNNNNNNNNNNNNNNNNNNNNNNNNNNNNNNNNNNNNNNAAUGCGUGUCAGAUAAGGAGGAAGAUCUGCAAUGGACAACAGAUUACCACAACCUGAAAGAUCUGCAAUGGAUAAGUUUGUAAGCUUCCACAGUUGAUCAGGCAAGCUGUCUAGUUUAUAACAAUCAGAAAUAUCAAGAAUUUCCAAUAAUCUCAUGUUGCAAAUGGUGUUAGGUAAUUUCGAAACGGUUGUUCCCCCGGCUCUGAGCUCUAUUAAAGAUUCAAUGUUCCCCAGUUCAACAGGUAAUGCUUCCACUUUAGGGCAAUACAUAAUACUUAGAACUUCCAAUGCUCUCAAGUUGCAAAUGGUGUUUGGAAGAUAUUCAAGCUUCUCGUUAUAAUCUAAUUUCAGCUUAACAAGC
Molecule: long non-coding RNA, 6169 nt
Filed under: Daucus carota (carrot)
Lineage: Eukaryota; Viridiplantae; Streptophyta; Magnoliopsida; Apiales; Apiaceae
Description: long non-coding RNA (DCAR_LNC005826)
Source: RNAcentral